RNAcentral lists this ribosomal RNA (253 nucleotides) under uncultured bacterium. RNAcentral describes it as "partial 16S ribosomal RNA". It matches the Rfam family "Bacterial small subunit ribosomal RNA", at positions 524 to 776 of the family's 1533-position model. The record is from RNAcentral.
UACGUAGGGUGCGAGCGUUGUCCGGAAUUAUUGGGCGUAAAGAGCUCGUAGGCGGUCUGUCGCGUCGGUCGUGAAAACUUGGGGCUUAACCUCUAGACGUCGAUGGAAACUGUUUGGCUAGAGUCCGGAAGAGGAGAAUGGAAUUCCUGGUGUAGCGGUGAAAUGCGCAGAUAUCAGGAAGAACACCCGUGGCUAAGGCGGUUCUCUAGUACGGUACUGACGCUGAGACGCGAAAGCGUGGGGAGCGAACAGG